Molecule: ribosomal RNA, 819 nt
Filed under: uncultured Actinomycetes bacterium
Lineage: Bacteria; Bacillati; Actinomycetota; Actinomycetes
Description: bacterial SSU rRNA
Rfam family: Bacterial small subunit ribosomal RNA
Source: RNAcentral
AAAGUCCCCUUCGGGGGACAAGUAGAGUGGCGCACGGGUGAGUAACACGUAGGUAAUCUACCUUCGGAUGGGGAAUAACAAUCGGAAACGGUUGCUAAAACCGCAUAAUGCAGCGGCACCUAAUGGUGACAGUUGUUAAAGCGGGGGAUCGAAAGACCUCGCGUCUGAAGAGGAGCCUGCGGCGGAUUAGCUAGUUGGUAAGGUAACGGCUUACCAAGGCUACGAUCCGUAGCCGGCCUGAGAGGGCGGUCGGCCACACUGACACUGACAUACGGGUCAGACUCCUACGGGAGGCAGCAGUCGGGAAUUUUGGGCAAUGGGCGAAAGCCUGACCCAGCAACGCCGCGUGAAGGAUGAAAUCCCUCGGGAUGUAAACUUCGCAAGAACGGGAAGAAUAAGUAGGGGACAAUACCCCCUAUGAUGACGGUACCGUUUGUAAGCUCCGGCUAACUCCGUGCCAGCAGCCGCGGUAAUACGGGGGGAGCAAGCGUUGUUCGGAUUUACUGGGCGUAAAGGGCGCGUAGGCGGCCAGCACAAGUCAGUUGUGAAAUCUCCGAGCUUAACUCGGAAAGGUCAACUGAUACUGUGCGGCUAGAGUGCAGAAGGGGCAACUGGAAUUCUCGGUGUAGCGGUGAAAUGCGUAGAUAUCGAGAGGAACACCUGCGGCGAAGGCGGGUUGCUGGGCUGACACUGACGCUGAGGCGCGAAAGCUAGGGGAGCGAACGGGAUUAGAUACCCCGGUAGUCCUAGCCUUAAACGAUGAAUGCUUGGUGUCUGGGGUUAUAAAGUCCCUGGGUGCCGUCGCUAACGCUUUAAGCA